CAGACUGCCUUUGGAUCUGUUACCCAGGAGGAAGUGUAACUGAGAGAAGUGAAAUACAGAUCUAAGAGGAGACAGAGAGAUUCAGGGAGGAGCUAAGAUGUUCCUGAACUAUAGAAGAGAGAGGAACUUCCAUAUUCACCAGAGUUCAACACAGACCAUCAUCAUCACCUUCAUUCAACAUGCUGUCAUUAGACUAUUAUUUACAUUCCCUACUGUUAGUUUCCAUUCUAAGAGGGGUCAGCUGUGAAGAUCUCACUGCAUUACAGAAAGAAGAGUUCAGUCCAGAAGGCAGCUCUGUUACUCUGUCCUACAGAUACUCCAAGGUUGCUGAAUUGGAUGAUUAUUUCUUCUGGUAUCGACAAUAUCCAGGAAAACCACCAGAGUUCCUCAUCCUUCAGUGGGGAACAAAACCUGCAUCAAACUCUCGACUGUCCGUUAAAUCGGAUGAGGAUAAAACCCAGAUCUAUCUGAGCAUCUCCUCUGCUGCAGUGACAGACUCUGCUGUGUACUACUGUGCUGUGAGGCCCACAGUGACA
This is a non-coding RNA of Trematomus bernacchii (emerald rockcod), 536 nucleotides long. NCBI's taxonomy places the organism in Eukaryota, Metazoa, Chordata, Actinopteri, Perciformes, Nototheniidae. The record is from the annotation of a RefSeq genome assembly.